RNAcentral lists this unclassified non-coding RNA (5227 nucleotides) under Anneissia japonica. RNAcentral describes it as "dNA polymerase alpha catalytic subunit-like, transcript variant X1". The record is from RNAcentral. Lineage: Eukaryota; Metazoa; Echinodermata; Crinoidea; Comatulida; Comatulidae.
GGUUUGUUCCAAAGACCUUUGCCCUUUGUGUUCGCGCUUAAUUCGAGUCGAGCUGAGCUGGACGACACGAAGAGAGACGGGAAUUAGGUGAAAUGGCAUCAACAGAAGAUUCUUUCCAAGGAGCUGAUAAUCUGGAUGAUUCCUUAGCAUCACGGAGGUCAAGGAGAUCCCAAUCAAAAGGUAAAAGCGGACGUCUUGCAGCUUUAGAUCAACUAAAACGUAUCAAAAAAGGAGAAAAAAUUAAAUAUGAGGUUGAAGAAGUGAAGAAUGUAUAUGACAUUGUAGAUGAUGAGGAGUAUUCAGACGUUGUGAGGAAGCGACAAGAUGAAGAUUGGAUCAUCGAUGAUAAUGGCGCAGGUUAUGUUGAAGAUGGCCGGGAGAUAUUUGAUGAUGAUUUGCUUGGAGAUGACGAGGAUGGCACUGUGGCGGAGCAAAAGAACAAGAAAAAGAAGUUUACCUCAAAACCAAAUACAAAGAAGGUGAUCAGUGUGAAGCCUGCCAACAACAUCAUGUCAAUGUUUGCCGCAGCCGGAGUAAAGAGCAAGAAAUCUGACAAAGAUGCGAAGAUCGGGACUGAUGACCUCCUAGAUGAGAUAAUGAAUGACUUAGGGCGAUCGCCUGCUGAUAUUGCUGUCAAACCAUUGUCUAUGAAACGCAAAGCUCGUCCAUCAAACCACGGGAACACAACACCCCGAAAUACUACACCUCGAAACCCCUUUAAUAAAACUCCUAAAAAACCGAAUACCCCAUUGAUGCGUCCUCGACAGAUGGCACAAGAAAUUGCACCACCAAGGACAACAAUAAAUAGGAUAAAGGAAAACACCAGCCAGAAACCAGCUAAGAAACCUCGACUAACGGAACCAAUUAUCCAAGUGAAGGAAGAAGUAGAGGACAUAGAAGAUGAAAUUGUUACCGACAAUGACAAUUAUGGAAAUGAAGUAUCUGAUGCUGAUAUGGCUUUACUUGAUGAUGAUGAUGAUGACUUCGCUGAUGUUUUGGAAGAAGAAAUUAAGAUAAAAGAAGAAAAAGAAGUGAAAGUGGAGCCAGUCAUCAAGAAAGAAGAGAAAAAGCCUGAAUACGAUGUUGAAGCUCUGGCAUCUACUGGAUGGGAGACCAUCAAGGGUCAAGUCAACAAUGGUGCCCAGAAAUGUCUAGCCGAUGAAGUGCACAUUGAUUCAUCAAGUUUACCCCUCACAAAGAAUGAGGAAGGGGAGCAGGUACUCCGAUUCUAUUGGUUUGAUAGCUACGAGGACCCUUAUAAGCAACCAGGUGUUGUUUACCUUUUUGGUAAAGUUUGGAUAGAGUCCGCAAAGACGCACAUCAGCUGUUGUGUACCUGUGAAAAACAUAGAGCGACAAGUGUUCCUUUUGCCCAGGGAAACGAAUCAACAAACUAACGAGCCAGUUGGAUUCCGUGACAUUUAUGAAGAAUUCAACAGUAAAAUAGCAGAGAAAUACAAAUUAAUGAAAUUCAAAUGUCGAAAAGUGACAAAGAAGUACUGUUUUGAGCUACAUGAUGUUCCAGCUGAGUCAGAGUAUCUGGAAGUCAGAUAUGCAGCUGAUCUACCGCAACUGCCUUCUGAUCUGACUGGUGACACAUUCAGUGCAGUGUUUGGGACUAACACAUCAUGUUGCGAAACACUUCUGAUGGAGCGUAAAAUCCAUGGUCCUUGUUGGUUGGACAUCAAAAUGCCACAACUUUCCCCCAAACCAGUAUCAUGGUGUAAAGUUGAAGCCUUUGUUACUAGGCCUGAUCAUGUGACUGUUAUCAAGGACCUUACACCACCGCCAUUGGUUGUGAUGACAAUCAGUCUUCGGACAGUGCUGAACACCAAAACACAUCAAAAUGAGGUCAUAGCAAUUGCUGGACUUGUGCACCAUGAAUACCAUAUCCACAAGUCUGCCCCAAACCCUCCAUUUCAGCAACAUUUUUGUGCCAUAGGAAAGCCGAGUGACUGUAUAUUUCCAUUUGACUUUCAAGAUGUUGUAAAGCGAUCAGAUUCCAAAUGUGAACUGAUGGCCACUGAGCGUGCUCUGUUGGGCUACUUCUUAGCUAUGAUACAUCGUAUGGAUCCUGACAUUAUUGUGGGCCAUGAUAUUUUUAGUUUCGAUUUGGAUGUAUUGCUACAUCGCAUCAAUACCUGUAAGGUGCCCCAUUGGUCAAGAAUUGGACGAUUAAGAAGACAGGUGAUGCCCAAGUUGUCCGGUCCUGGUGGAAGAUCUGGUAACUUUGCCGAAAAGAAUGCCACUUGCGGUCGUAUGAUCAGUGACGUCAAGAUAUCGGCCAAGGAGCUCAUCCGGUGCAAGAGCUAUGAGCUGACAGAAUUGGCAAGUUUUGUACUAAAAGAAAGUCGAAUUGAGAUUCCUUUUGAAGAAAUAAAGAACAUGUACAUAUCUUCAAAGCAGUUGAUGUACCUUGUAGAACAAACGUGGGUUGAUGCAUCAUUAAUCCUUCGCAUCAUGUGCGAGUUGAACGUCUUGCCCCUGGCUCUCCAGAUUACGACCAUAUGUGGUAAUGUCAUGUCGAAGACUUUGAUGGGGGGACGGUCUGAAAGGAAUGAGUAUCUAUUGUUGCAUGCCUUCCAUGACAAAGGUUUCAUCUACCCUGAUAAACAGUUCAAGAAAAAAGCACAGCCAGUGCAAGAUAAUGAUGAAGAAAUUUCUCAGCCCAAGAAGGGACGUAAAAAACCUGCUUAUGCUGGAGGUCUUGUACUGGAGCCUAAGAAAGGUUUUUAUGACAAGUUUAUACUGUUGUUGGACUUCAACAGUUUAUACCCAUCAAUCAUACAGGAGUACAACAUAUGCUUCACAACCAUUGACCGUACCCCACCGGCAUCGCAGGCGGAAGAUGAGGACUGGCUUCCAGAAGUACCUGAUCCAAACUUAGAAGCUGGUAUUCUCCCAACGGAAAUUAGGAAACUUGUUGAGCGUCGACGUCAAGUAAAGUCUUUGAUGAAAGACAAGAACAUAAGCAAUGACCUUAGAAUGCAGUAUGAUAUUAGACAAAAAGCCCUCAAGCUCACUGCUAACAGUAUGUACGGCUGUUUAGGUUUCUCUCACUCCAGAUUCUAUGCAAAGCCUCUGGCUGCCAUGGUAACGGGGAAAGGUCGUGAGAUUCUUAUGAAGACCAAAGAACUAGUAGAGAAGAUGAACCUUGAUGUGAUUUAUGGUGAUACUGAUUCCAUUAUGAUCAACACGAAUACAAUUGACUUUGAAGAGGUCUAUAAAAUGGGAAACAAGGUGAAAAGUGAAGUGAACAAAUUGUACAAACUUCUGGAAAUUGACAUCGAUGGAGUAUUUAAGUCCAUGCUCCUACUCAAGAAGAAAAAAUAUGCUGCCCUCGCUGUCCAGAAGUCUGCUGAUGGCACGUACACCACGACCCAGGAAUUGAAAGGUCUGGAUAUUGUGAGGAGAGAUUGGAGUGGACUUGCCAAAGAAGUUGGAAAUUACGUGAUUGGUCAGAUCCUGUCUGCUGAAUCACGGGAGACUAUCGUUGAGAAUAUCCACACACAUCUAAUUGAUGUCGGUGAGAAGGUUAAAAACAACAAGCUGCCUAUGCAUAUGUAUGAGAUACACAAGAGUUUAACCAAAUCCCCGCAAGACUACCCAGACAAGAAAAGCCUCCCACACGUGCAUGUUGCACUAUGGAUGAACACUCAAGGAGGGAAGGAAGUGGGAGCGGGGGAUACUGUGGCAUAUGUUAUAUGUGAGGAUGGUUCAAAUCUACCUGCAAGCCAGCGAGCAUACCAUCCAGACGAAGCCAAGAAGCGGAAUCAUCUAAAGAUCGAUACUAAAUACUACUUGUCACAGCAAGUCCACCCGGUCGUGUCCCGAUUAUGUGACCCCAUCGACGGAACUGACGCUGCCCAUAUCGCUGAGUGUCUUGGCCUGGAUCCUUCAAGUUACAAGCAAGCCUUAAGACAGCAGGAGGCAGACCAUGAUGCAUACCAGAACUUUGAAGCUCAGAUAACUGACGAGGAGAGAUACAAAGAUUGUGAACCGUUCAAGUUUGUGUGCCCCGCAUGUAAAAGGGAAAACAUCAUAGAUGUUGUAAUCACAAGCAUGACAAACCAUAUUGUAUAUCGUUUGGAGGAGUGUUCAAAUGAAGAAUGCAUGACACCACUGUUCAAAUAUGAAGCACAAAUUAAAAAUCAACUACGAAUGAUGGUUCGAAGAUGCGUAACAAAGUAUUAUGAUGGUUGGCUUGUUUGUGAAGAUACUUCGUGCAAUCAUCGUACACGUUGUGUUCCUAUUAACCCUCAGCGCCAUGGCCUCCCUUGCCCAGUGUGUCAACGAGCUCUACUAAAGCCAGAGUACACCAGUAAAGCUUUAUAUACUCAGCUGCGAUAUUUUAAGUUCAUCUUUGAUGCCCAUCGAGCGAUUCAAAGUAAUAAGGACAAAAGUUUGACUAAACCAAUUUUUGAGAGGAAUCUGGAGGCGCGUAGCACAUACGAUAGACUUCUCCAAAUGACCGAAUCUACCAUCCAACAAAGCGGCUACUCGGAAGUUAAUCUUAGCCGGUUGUUUGAAAGCCUAUUCACAAUCAAGGUUUAAUUUCAUGGGUGCUAUAGGAGUUUAUAGAGGAUUUCAGAAGCAAGAGACAUAGUGGGAGGUUGGGACUACAAUUAAAAGUCAAUACAGUAGUAGCAUAGAUAUUUGCAAUUUAAUUUGAUGUGCAUAAUCCAGGGUUGGGGUGCCAGAUGUAGAAUUGGUAUGCAAGGUAGAAGGGGUGUAGUUCAAGAUCCAUGCUUGGUAUGCAAGAUCCAGCUUAAAAUUUGAGCCCAAACUUAUCCACUGUUUUGUUUUGUUUUUGUUUUUUUUGCGAAUAAAACAUUCUGAGCUGUCUGUUCUGUGAUUGGUUGUGAUGUAGUUCAUACCCUCACAUGUUGACCAGCAGUUUGUGUGAAUGCUAUCUUCUGUAUGUAUAUUAAAACUAAGUUUGUGGAAAGUGUGGUAAAUUCACUUCGGCCGUCCGACCCAUUUUUAUGCCCACCCCUGGAGGCUAAUAAAACAUAUGUACAUAUAAUUAGGGGAAUUUUAUGUGGCAUAUUUGUAAGGGUACAGGCUUACAGCCAAAUAGUUGUGGGUUCCGGUCAGUUUCUGAUCACAUUGCUUGUGUCUUUAGCAAGACAGUUUGUCAAUAAUAUGUGUUAUAUAGAGCAACUUAGCUCAGUCGGCUAAUCUGGUGGUAGCCACUGUGUGUGCGCUGAACCGUAGAGAUCUCUAGG